AAUGAAGUGCCUGAAAAAAGGUCUAUUUUGAUAGAGUAGCUUAUGUGUAAUUCACCUUCAUUA
Molecule: transfer RNA, 63 nt
Filed under: Nudobius lentus
Lineage: Eukaryota; Metazoa; Arthropoda; Insecta; Coleoptera; Staphylinidae
Description: tRNA-Ile
Source: RNAcentral